AUCUUUUUAAUAUACUAAGUAUAUUUGGCUUCCAACCAAAAAGUCUAAGAACUCUUAGAAAAGAUA
RNAcentral lists this transfer RNA (66 nucleotides) under Axianassa australis. Its description in RNAcentral is "tRNA-Gly". Lineage: Eukaryota; Metazoa; Arthropoda; Malacostraca; Decapoda; Axianassidae. The record is from RNAcentral.